UGACCGAAACACCUCAAGUCAUCCGUAAAGGUGAAGAACGAUUGUUAGUUUAAGGAAUUAUUAAGGAAAAUUGGAAGAUUCGCUAGUGUGCUGCGAGGAAGCGAAAAAUAAGGUAAACCUCAAAAUUAGGACCGGACUUGGCAUUCGGAGAAUCACCUUGGACCUCGAACUAUUUUUAAUAAGUAUUAAUAAGUUUCUGUUGGUUUUGGUUUGUAAUUUUUAAUG
Molecule: long non-coding RNA, 225 nt
Organism: Gossypium arboreum
Lineage: Eukaryota; Viridiplantae; Streptophyta; Magnoliopsida; Malvales; Malvaceae
Exons: 3
Source: RefSeq, a predicted model, not a curated record